RNAcentral lists this ribosomal RNA (461 nucleotides) under uncultured bacterium. RNAcentral describes it as "partial 16S ribosomal RNA". It matches the Rfam family "Bacterial small subunit ribosomal RNA", at positions 331 to 793 of the family's 1533-position model. The record is from RNAcentral.
CCAGACUCCUACGGGAUUCAGCAGUGGGGAAUAUUUCACAAUGGUUUGAACCCUGGUGCAGCGACGCCGCGUGGUUGAAGGAGCACCUCGUUGCGUAAAGCCCUAUCGGCAGGGAAGAAAAGCGAACAGUUUCGCCUGGACGGUACCUGACUAAGAAGCCCCGGCUAACUACGUGCCAGCAGCCGCGGUAAUACGUAGGGGGCAAGCGUUAUCCGGAUUUACUGGGUGUAAAGGGGGCGCAGACGGCAGCGCAAGCCAGGAGUGAAAGCCCGGGGCCCAACCCCGGGACUGCUCUUGGAACUGCGCGGCUGGAGUGCAGGAGGGGCAGGCGGAAUUCCUGGUGUAGCGGUGAAAUGCGUAGAUAUCAGGAGGAACACCGGUGGCGAAGGCGGCCUGCUGGAAUGCGACUGACGUUGAGGCCCGAAAGCGUGGGGAGCAAACAGGAUUAGAUACCCGCGUAG